Molecule: ribosomal RNA, 468 nt
Filed under: uncultured bacterium
Lineage: Bacteria
Description: partial 16S ribosomal RNA
Rfam family: Bacterial small subunit ribosomal RNA
Source: RNAcentral
GACGAACGCUGGCGGCGUGCUUAACACAUGCAAGUCGAACGGAAAGGCCCUGCUUUUGUGGGGUGCUCGAGUGGCGAACGGGUGAGUAACACGUGAGUAACCUGCCCUUGACUUUGGGAUAACUUCAGGAAACUGGGGCUAAUACCGGAUAGGAGCUCCUGCUGCAUGGUGGGGGUUGGAACGUUUCGGCGGUUGGGGGUGGACUCGCGGCUUAUCAGCUUGUUGGUGGGGUAGUGGCUUACCAAGGCUUUGACGGGUAGCCGGCCUGAGAGGGUGACCGGCCACAUUGGGACUGAGAUACGGCCCAGACGCCUACGGGAGGCAGCAGUGGGGAAUAUUGCACAAUGGGCGGAAGCCUGAUGCAGCAACGCCGCGUGCGGGAUGACGGCCUUCGGGUUGUAAACCGCUUUCGCCUGUGACGAAGCGUGAGUGACGGUAAUGGGUAAAGAAGCACCGGCUAACUACGUG